This 385-nucleotide unclassified non-coding RNA is filed under the name soil metagenome. RNAcentral's name for it is "partial contains 5.8S ribosomal RNA, internal transcribed spacer 2, and large subunit ribosomal RNA". The stretch from base 1 to 120 matches the Rfam family "5.8S ribosomal RNA", at positions 35 to 154 of the family's 154-position model. The record is from RNAcentral.
GAUGAAGAACGUAGCGAAAUGCGAUAAGUAAUGUGAAUUGCAGAAUUCAGUGAAUCAUCGAAUCUUUGAACGCACCUUGCGCUCCUUGGUAUUCCGAGGAGCAUGCCUGUUUGAGUGUCAUUAAAUUCUCAAUCUUCACAGUUUUGUACUGUCUGAAGAUUGGAUGUGGGGGUUUAUGUGGGCCGAAAGUUCCACUCCCUUGAAAUAUAUUAGCUGGAAUGCCUUUGCAAAUCCAACUAUCAGUGUGAUAAUUAUCUAUGCUGGAGUUGUUGCUUAUAAGGAAUCUGCUUCUAACCUUACUAUCCUUUGGGAUAACAUAGAACCAUUUUGACCUCAAAUCAGGUAGGACUACCCGCUGAACUUAAGCAUAUCAAUAAGCGGAGGA